AUCAGUUGUGCCGCCAGGUGCACCGCUGAGUAGCUACGUUUGGAAGAGAUAAGCACUGAAAGCAUAUAAGUGCGAAACUCGCCGCAAGAUUAGACUUCUUUAAAGGGUCGUUGUAGACUACAACGUUGAUAGGCUAUAGAUGUAAAGGCAGUGAUGUCAUAGUCGAGUAGUACUAAUUACCCAUAGACUUUUUCUA
This 196-nucleotide ribosomal RNA is filed under the name Escherichia coli. Its description in RNAcentral is "partial 23S ribosomal RNA". It matches the Rfam family "Bacterial large subunit ribosomal RNA", at positions 2716 to 2925 of the family's 2925-position model. The record is from RNAcentral. Lineage: Bacteria; Pseudomonadati; Pseudomonadota; Gammaproteobacteria; Enterobacterales; Enterobacteriaceae.